CGGGGUGUAGCGUAGUCCGGUCCAUCGCGCCAGGUUUGGGACCUGGAGGUCGCAGGUUCGAAUCCUGCCGCCCCGA
RNAcentral lists this transfer RNA (76 nucleotides) under Thermoflavifilum aggregans. RNAcentral's name for it is "tRNA-Pro". It matches the Rfam family "tRNA". Rfam says of the family: Transfer RNA (tRNA) molecules are approximately 80 nucleotides in length. Lineage: Bacteria; Pseudomonadati; Bacteroidota; Chitinophagia; Chitinophagales; Chitinophagaceae. RNAcentral also lists the same sequence under 3 other names. The record is from RNAcentral.